UGGGGAAUAUUGCACAAUGGGGGAAACCCUGAUGCAGCGACGCCGCGUGAGCGAAGAAGGCUUUCGAGUCGUAAAGCUCUGUCCUAUGAGAAGAUAAUGACGGUAUCAUAGGAGGAAGCCCUGGCUAAAUACGUGCCAGCAGCCGCGGUAAUACGUAUGGGGCGAGCGUUGUCCGGAAUUAUUGGGCGUAAAGGGUACGUAGGCGGUUUUUUAAGUCAGGUGUCAAAGCGUGGAGCUUAACUCCAUUAAGCACUUGAAACUGAAAGACUUGAGUGAAGGAGAGGAAAGUGGAAUUCCUAGUGUAGCGGUGAAAUGCGUAGAUAUUAGGAGGAAUACCGGUGGCGAAGGCGACUUUCUGGACGAACACUGACGCUGAGGCGCGAAAGCCAGGGGAGCGAACGGG
Molecule: ribosomal RNA, 403 nt
Filed under: Verrucomicrobiota bacterium
Lineage: Bacteria; Pseudomonadati; Verrucomicrobiota
Description: Verrucomicrobia bacterium partial 16S ribosomal RNA
Rfam family: Bacterial small subunit ribosomal RNA
Source: RNAcentral